RNAcentral lists this ribosomal RNA (472 nucleotides) under uncultured Desulfobulbus sp. Its description in RNAcentral is "bacterial SSU rRNA". It matches the Rfam family "Bacterial small subunit ribosomal RNA", at positions 916 to 1381 of the family's 1533-position model. The record is from RNAcentral. Lineage: Bacteria; Pseudomonadati; Thermodesulfobacteriota; Desulfobulbia; Desulfobulbales; Desulfobulbaceae.
GACGGGGCCCGCACAAGCGGUGGAGCAUGUGGUUUAAUUCGAUGCAACGCGAGAACCUUACCUGGUCUUGACAUCCCGGAGACCCUUAGGAACUAGGGGUGCUUCCAUCUGGAAGAAUCUGGAGACAGGUGCUGCAUGGCUGUCGUCAGCUCGUGUCGUGAGAUGUUGGGUUAAGUCCCGCAACGAGCGCAACCCUUGCCUUUAGUUGCCAGCAGUUCGGCUGGGCACUCUAAAGGGACUGCCGGUGUUAAACCGGAGGAAGGUGGGGAUGACGUCAAGUCCUCAUGGCCUUUAUGACCAGGGCUACACACGUACUACAAUGGCCGAUACAAAGGGCAGCGACACUGCGAGGUGAAGCCAAUCCCGUAAAAUCGGUCUCAGUCCGGAUUGGAGUCUGCAACUCGACUCCAUGAAGUUGGAAUCGCUAGUAAUCGUGGAUCAGCAUGCCACGGUGAAUACGUUCCCGGGCCUU